GCCUGCAUUCGCUCGCCCGGCGCCACACCCACCCACCUUGAGCCUCUCAUUUCCACCCGCUAGACUCGACACUUACUGCGCCUUGGCCGCGACGCGGAGGCCCCUCUGCACGGAGGAGAGCUUGGCGAGGGCGGGCACGGUGAGGUCGGGGCGAGCCGCGGCGACGGCGCCCGCGACAGCCUUGGCCUGCUGCUGGAAGAUGCCCGCAACCUUGGAGGUCUUGUCGCCCACGGUGACGGCGACGGCGGUGGGGUUCUUCUUCUUGGAGUAGUCCGCGGGGUACUUGAACGCGUUCACGCCGACGGGGGUGGACGCGGCGAUGCCUGCGCGGCGGUCGGGGGAGAGGAGGAGAGGUGAGUCGACGCCCGGGGAACGAACAAAAAACCCUACUGCAACAGGGUGGAACAAAUCGCGAGAUGUUUUUUCCCCGCGGGUUGGUUAGGGUUUUACGCUAUGCGACGCGCGUCCGGUCGAUCGGAGACCCCACGCGCGUCGCACAGCACCCCUUGGAUACGCAAUGAUCGG
Molecule: long non-coding RNA, 525 nt
Filed under: Micromonas commoda
Lineage: Eukaryota; Viridiplantae; Chlorophyta; Mamiellophyceae; Mamiellales; Mamiellaceae
Description: long non-coding RNA (MCOM_LNC000397)
Source: RNAcentral